This 614-nucleotide ribosomal RNA is filed under the name Bacillus cereus. RNAcentral's name for it is "bacterial SSU rRNA". The stretch from base 71 to 614 matches the Rfam family "Bacterial small subunit ribosomal RNA", at positions 875 to 1412 of the family's 1533-position model. Lineage: Bacteria; Bacillati; Bacillota; Bacilli; Caryophanales; Bacillaceae. The record is from RNAcentral.
UGUUAGGAGGGUUUUCCCGCCCCUUUUAGUGGCUGGAAGGUUAACGCCAUUAAAGCCCCUCCCGCCCUGGGGGAAGUACGGCCCGCCAAGGCUGGAAACUCAAAAAGGAAAUUGACGGGGGCCCGCACACAGCCGGUGGAGCAUGUGGUUUAAUUUUGAAGCAACGCGAGAGAACCUUUCCAGGUCUUGACAUCAUCAGAAAACCCUAGAGAUAGGGCUUCUCCUUCGGGAGCAGAGUGACAGGUGGAGCAAAAGUUGUCGUCAGCUCGUGUCGUGAGAUGUUGGGUUAAGUCCCGCAACGAGCGCAACCCUUGAUCUUAGUUGCCAUCAUUAAGUUGGGCACUCUAAGGUGACUGCCGGUGACAAACCGGAGGAAGGUGGGGAUGACGUCAAAUCAUCAUGCCCCUUAUGACCUGGGCUACACACGUGCUACAAUGGACGGUACAAAGAGCUGCAAAACCGCGAGGUGGAGCUAAUCUCAUAAAACCGUUCUCAGUUCGGAUUGUAGGCGGCAACUCGCCUACAUGAAGCUGGAAUCGCUAGUAAUCGCGGAUCAGCAUGCCGCGGUGAAUACGUUCCCGGCCUCUGACACCCGCCCGUCACACCCGAGAGUU